AGAACGAACGCUGGCGGCAGGCUUAACACAUGCAAGUCGAACGGUUGUAGCAAUACAGCAGUGGCAGACGGGUGAGUAACACGUGGGAACCUUCCUAGGGGUACGGAACAACUCAGGGAAACUUGAGCUAAUACCGUAUACGUCCGUAAGGAGAAAGAUUCAUCGCCCCUAGACGGGCCCGCGUAGGAUUAGGUAGUUGGUGAGGUAACGGCUCACCAAGCCUACGAUCCUUAGCUGAUCUGAGAGGAUGAUCAGCCACACUGGGACUGAGACACGGCCCAGACUCCUACGGGAGGCAGCAGUGGGGAAUCGUUGGACAAGUGGGCGCAAGCCUGAUCCAGCCAUGCCGCGUGAGUGAAGAACGGCCUUGGGUUAGUAAAGCUCGUUUAACCGAGGGUACGAGUAAUGAC
RNAcentral lists this ribosomal RNA (410 nucleotides) under uncultured soil bacterium. RNAcentral describes it as "bacterial SSU rRNA". It matches the Rfam family "Bacterial small subunit ribosomal RNA", at positions 26 to 459 of the family's 1533-position model. The record is from RNAcentral.